UGACUGCCAGAUCCCAUAGCGAGUUACGGAGCAACAUUGAAGACUGGAAAUCCUUGCCAAAUUUGCCUUUUCCAAUCCAAGAUCUGCAUCGCAGAUGAUGCAAAUUGCCACGAUGCCUGCGAUUAGUUGUUUCAAGAGUCGAGCGGAGACUACGGACAACGAACUGCACUGAUGGAGCUUGAUGUGCCGCAGUCAGCUUAAAGUAUACAGUAAUGAAUGCAAAGGAUGCCAUAUUGAGCGACUAGAAAGGUUGCAUUUCUGGGGAAGGGGAGCAACUCAGAGGAACAGCGGCUUUACUCACAGCCUCAGCAAUAGCGAACCAGGAUGGCUACUGUCGUCGGGAGGAAGCCUUCUCAUAAUGAAGACUUACGAAACUUGAAUCUUGCCGGUCAUGUUGGAUUUGACAGCCUUCCAGAUCAGUUAGUCAACAAGUCAACAACACAAGGAUUUUGUUUUAAUAUUCUUUGUGUCGGUGAAACUGGUAUUGGCAAAUCAACAUUAAUGGACACAUUGUUCAACACUAAAUUUGAAAAUGCACCAGCCUCUCAUACCGAACCCGGUGUUCGAUUGAAAUCAAGCAGCUAUGAACUACAGGAGAGCAAUGUACGACUAAAGUUGACCAUUGUCGAUACAGUAGGAUUUGGAGACCAGAUAAACAAAGAAGACAGCUACAAACCUAUCGUUGAAUAUAUUGAUGCACAGUUUGAAGCCUAUCUCCAGGAAGAAUUGAAAAUCAGGCGUUCCUUUUACAAUUACCCUGACUCAAGAAUCCACACCUGUCUCUACUUCAUUGCGCCCACAGGACAUUCGCUGAAAUCUCUUGACCUUGUUACUAUGAAAAAAUUGGAUAGCAAGGUGAAUAUAAUCCCUAUAAUUGCUAAAGCAGACACAAUCUCCAAGAGCGAAUUACAUAAAUUCAAGAUCAAAAUCAUGAGUGAAUUAGUCAGUAAUGGUGUGCAGAUUUACCAGUUCCCAACAGAUGAUGAAACUGUUGCUGAGAUCAAUUCAACAAUGAAUGGUCAUCUUCCAUUUGCAGUUGUUGGCAGCACUGAAGAAAUAAAGAUUGGUAAUAAAAUGGCGAAAGCUCGGCAGUAUCCCUGGGGAGUUGUACAGGUGGAGAAUGAAAGCCACUGUGACUUUGUAAAGCUCCGCGAAAUGUUAAUUCGUGUAAAUAUGGAAGAUCUGAGGGAGCAAACACAUGCACGUCAUUAUGAACUGUACAGACGCUGUAAACUGGAGGAAAUGGGAUUUAAAGACACGGAUCCAGACAGCAAACCAUUCAGCUUGCAGGAGACCUAUGAAGCAAAAAGAAAUGAAUUUUUGACUGAGCUGCAGAAAAAAGAAGAAGACAUGAGACAGAUGUUCGUCAUGAGAGUGAAAGAGAAGGAAUCUGAGCUGAAAGAAGCUGAAAAAGAGCUUCACGAAAAGUUUGAUCACCUGAAGAAGACCCAUCAAGAUGAGAAGAAGAAACUUGAAGAUAAGAAGAAAGAUCUAGAGGAAGAAAUGAAUGCAUUCAACAAGAGGAAAGCAGCGACUCAGCUGCUCCAAUCACAGGCUCAGCAAGCUUCCCAGACCACCAAGAAGGACAAGGAUAAGAAGAAUGCAAGCUUCACAUAAGCAACUCUGGCAAGUCACGGAUGUCACCCUAUCCAUCUGCUUAGCUGUAACGUGUCUGGCAUCAGAAUGCCCAUCCAUUUUUUUUUAAAUUGAGAGAACGUUAACAAACAACUUUUCAUAUAGGAAAAUCCUUUCAAAAGCAUUCCAUGAAAUGGAGAAGGGGCACAACUUAAAACUGAAAAAAAACUGGUAUUUGAAGGGGGCAGUCAGAAGCAAUGGAUGUCUCUUUGAAAAUGAAAACUGUAGCUAGAAUAAUAGGACUAUUAUUACAAAGAGGAAAGUGAUCAGCCAUGUAGGAUUAGAAAGGAUUAUAUAUCAGGAUAUCAUAACAACUUUUCUAAUGCCUUUUCCAUUUAGAAGUCUUGCAGAAAUCAAAUCUGAAAGAGAUAAUUUUGCAAUUUCAUGGGUUAUGGAUAAUGCUAUUUUUAUACUUUGUGUAAUGCUACCAUCAUAGUUCCAUAAUGUGUUUCUGUUGUUAUUAACAAUGUGGAAUUAAUAUCUGUCCUUGCUCUUAAAAUAUCCUAAAUCCACAGGUCAAACCCGAUCCUUUUAACCCUUUAUUUUGUGCUGUUCACCCUGAGAGAGAUUUCUUUUUGAUGCCUUUCCAAAAAGAAAUUAGUUAUUGUUCCUUGUCUGCUGUGGAUUUGUCUCUGCUCUCUUCUGGCUUGGUAGUAUCUCCUCUUGUUUACAACAUACCCAUCUAUUUUAAAACCAGGACCAAUGUCACUAGCAGAGAUACACAGCUUCAAACCUUUUGAUGGCAGGUUUCAAUUUUGAUUGCUAACCAGACUUGGCUCAGGAAAGAGGUGGUCAUAUCCAUCUUGACAUGUGCACGAGAAGCCUUAACAUCAACUUACAUUGAAACAGAAAUGCUGAAGGUUUAAUCGGAACUGUAGUUUACAGCAUAUCUAUUAUUUUAAAACUUUGCACAUUAACACUCGUAAAAUUUAUCAGUUGCUCCCAAGUGAAUAAAAUUUGUUAUUUAUUUAAUUAUGGAGCAAUUUUAAAUCAUAAAACUAUUUUUACUGGGAGUUGGCAGUGAAACUGAUAUUUGUUAUAACUAAAAUUCAUAUUUCCUUGAAGUUGAAUGCUCAUCUGAGCAUUAAGUGUUAACAUCUCACCUUUCCUUGAAUCUCAACUUCAAUAGUGACAAUAGCUGUAUGAUGUUAACAUAUUACUGAAUGUCAACAGUACUGUGUUUAACUUAGUAGCUGUCCAAUUCACGUUCGUUAACAACUUGUCUAUCAGUUUGUCUCUGUUGGGUAGGAUUGCCCAAUGCCAGUUCCUAGCUGGACUUUGCAUGUGCUAAUGGGGGUAGCUUAUGCAAACCAGGAGGGAGAAUAUCUGAAGCAGUUGUCCCUCACCAGUGACAGUUAAGAAUUCAUUCUCAAAUUUGCUUAAAAUUAUGUUAUUCUAAUCUUACCCUAACUAACUACAGCAGUGACUCCUGUUUUAGUUGAUAGGAAGGAUUUGGUGAUGGGGAUCAAAGGACCAAUCGAUUCAAUAAAUGUAAUUUUAUAAAUUGAAGCCUUGAUGGUCAUCAAAGUUUUGAUAACAGCCCUUAACCUGUAAUCUUGAGGACAUGCUUUUAACUGCACAUCUUUCCUGGGCCAUGUUGAGCUGAUUACCCUAGCAGCAGUUUUAUUUUGUUUUGUAUGUCUUUUACCUUGUUUUCACAGUAAUCCUUGGCUCUGCACGGAAUAACUAAUAUCCCACAAAAUCUAGUUGGAUUGCACUUUCACCUAUGCACCUUCUUUAUCUAAUUAUCCUGCUGCCUGUCCCCUUCUGGAUGAGAUUCCUAGGCUUUAGAAGAGCUACAGUGUAUGCACACACCACGCAGAAGAAUUCUUUCUUGGGUCAUCAUUAUUUCUGUUCCUUCCUGGUCACAUUUCUUGUUCUGUGGCUUGUUGAACCUCAGUAUUUUAUAGUUCUGACACAGAAAAAUCCUAAUAAAAUAAUCUACUUGUGACAGGAACAAGAUGAGUAUAAUACUUUAGAAACAGUUGACCUUUUGAAUUUGAUAUUAUCUAAUGUUAUUUGUAUAAUCAUUCUUUACAGCAUCAGAAACCAUGCACUCAAUGUUCUGUCACUGAUGAUUCUUCAUGUUGUUGCAUUGUUUCAAACUUUCAAAUAGUUUAUCACUAUUUCUCUUCUUUCUCCAAUGCACAUUUGCAAGUAAACCUAAACUUGCAAAUUUCUUUAAACAACUAAAGAAAAGCAUGUGUUUUUAGUCAAUUAUACCUGACUGUACUGUACAAAUUUGAUUGACUCUUGAAUCAUCACAAUGCAGACACUUAAUAUUUUUAUUGCAGUUUUCAGAACGGGGGUAGUUAAAUAUGGCCAAGGCUUUUUAUAAAAGGCCAAGUUACAAGUUUAUUAUCUUUGUUUAUAAGUUUUAAUAUUAUCACACAAUGACAACUUUAAUAAUAAAUGCCCUAAUAAACAGCUUGUUUUUAGGAUUUUGCAAAAGGUAAUAUGUACAGUCUCUAGAUUUUACCUUGGCCUACUUAUUGCACCAUUUGUAAACUUGGCUUCAAUGGAGAAAUUACAUUCUUUUAUUGAUUUAACACAGAUAAUUGAUAGUGAUUCUGCAUUAAUAUUUUGCAAGUUUAAAGUGAAAUAAUUACCAACAGUUUAUAAUUAAUAUAACUAGCAUUUAUUCUGAUGUUAAGGUCAAUGUAAAAGUACAAAAGCUGCAAUGCUGAGGUGGCCAUGGAUGGAAAGUGUCCUAUUAUAAUUAUACUGGUUGUUCAGAUGUGCAAUGUUGUUGAUCUAGUACAGUAUGCUUUUCUGUAACCAGCCAUAUAUUUGAACCAUUGAUUUGGAGACUGUGAAAUGUUCUGUAAGAAAAUAAACUGAUUUUAAACCACAAUUUCAA
Molecule: RNA transcript, 4495 nt
Organism: Stegostoma tigrinum
Lineage: Eukaryota; Metazoa; Chordata; Chondrichthyes; Orectolobiformes; Stegostomatidae
Gene name: septin-11
Exons: 13
Source: RefSeq, a predicted model, not a curated record